CGCGCUGCUGAUGGGAGAGAUGGGCCAGCCCCACGCCGAAGGAGCAACCACCCCGGAAACUCUCAGGCAAAAGGACCACAGCAGUGAA
RNAcentral lists this non-coding RNA (88 nucleotides) under Meiothermus ruber. RNAcentral's name for it is "Glycine sequence". It matches the Rfam family "Glycine riboswitch aptamer". Rfam says of the family: This family represents the bacterial glycine riboswitch. Glycine riboswitches usually consist of two metabolite-binding aptamers domains with similar structures in tandem. Lineage: Bacteria; Thermotogati; Deinococcota; Deinococci; Thermales; Thermaceae. The record is from RNAcentral.